RNAcentral lists this non-coding RNA (182 nucleotides) under Tepidiphilus thermophilus. RNAcentral describes it as "Petrobacter sp. JHK30 6S / SsrS RNA". It matches the Rfam family "6S / SsrS RNA". Rfam says of the family: E. coli 6S RNA was the first non coding RNA to be sequenced, but its function was unknown until recently. It consists of 184 nucleotides that fold into an extended hairpin structure with a large single-stranded internal bulge. The 6S RNA specifically associates with RNA polymerase holoenzyme containing the sigma70 specificity factor. The record is from Rfam by way of RNAcentral. Lineage: Bacteria; Pseudomonadati; Pseudomonadota; Hydrogenophilia; Hydrogenophilales; Hydrogenophilaceae.
UUUCCCCUGCGGCGUUCGGGAAGGUCGUACGAUCCUAGAACCAAUAUCGUGACGAUGGGUCGCGGCCCCGAGAAACCGCCAGUGUGCGCGCCCUUCGCGGGCGUGCCUGAGGCGGAAGGAAAGCGACCAACCUGAACCUCGGGUUCAGGAGCAUCGGCCUGAUCGGCGCUCGCGGGGGAUCU